This 446-nucleotide ribosomal RNA is filed under the name Globigerina bulloides. RNAcentral's name for it is "partial 18S ribosomal RNA". It matches the Rfam family "Eukaryotic small subunit ribosomal RNA", at positions 1194 to 1460 of the family's 1831-position model. Lineage: Eukaryota; Foraminifera; Rotaliida; Globigerinidae. The record is from RNAcentral.
UUUGACUCAACGCGGAAAAGCUUAUCUGGUCCGGACGCAGUGAGGAUUGACAGACAGUUUCAGGAGUGGUUCUUGGUAAACAAUUGAGAGAGUUGAAGUUCUUUCAUGAUCUUGUGAGAGGUGGUGCAUGGCCGUUCUUAGUUCGUGUAGUGAUAUGUCUGCCUAAUCGCGUCACGAUAACCUAUUGGUCGACAACCCAAUUAUCACAACUGCAGCAUAACUCCCCUUGGGUGGGCGAGGCUCUGUGUAGGAUAGACCUCUGAACAGUACGCAACGAACGCGAUCGUAAUCCCUUGUUGAGUGGCCAUCCUGUAAGCUGCUGGAUUAGGAACCCAGUGGUAUUAUCUCAGCCACAGAUUUUCUGGUUGUAAUGGGCCAGUUUUGAAACUCGGGGAACAUCUGUGACUUUCUUUCUUAACGCAGAGGAAGGUUAUGGCAAUAACAGG